Centropristis striata (black sea bass) is the source of this 188-nucleotide small nuclear RNA. RefSeq annotates it as U2 spliceosomal RNA. The transcript has a single exon. The record is from RefSeq and is a predicted model, not a curated record. Lineage: Eukaryota; Metazoa; Chordata; Actinopteri; Perciformes; Serranidae.
AGCGCCGCUCUCAGCCUUUUGGCUAAGAUCAAGUGUAGUGUCUGUUCUUAUCAGUUUAAUAAAAAUAAAUACAUAAAUAAAUAGAUUCAGCGCUGCGAAUUUCAAAAUCAGUUCACGACAUGGAUGUGUCUUUGGCAUCAGCACUCUGACACAUAUUUGUAAAAAUGAUGCUUUAAGGUUGAAUCUCC